ACUCUCGGCAACGGAUAUCUCGGCUCUCGCAUCGAUGAAGAACGUAGCGAACUGCGAUACUUGGUGUGAAUUGCAGAAUCCCGUGAACCAUCGAGUCUUUGAACGCAAGUUGCGCCCGAAGCCAUCAGGCCGAGGGCACGUCUGCCUGGGCGUCACGC
RNAcentral lists this ribosomal RNA (158 nucleotides) under Swertia erythrosticta. RNAcentral's name for it is "5.8S ribosomal RNA". It matches the Rfam family "5.8S ribosomal RNA". From Rfam's summary of the family: 5.8S ribosomal RNA (5.8S rRNA) is a component of the large subunit of the eukaryotic ribosome. It is transcribed by RNA polymerase I as part of the 45S precursor that also contains 18S and 28S rRNA. Functionally, it is thought that 5.8S rRNA may be involved in ribosome translocation. The record is from RNAcentral. Lineage: Eukaryota; Viridiplantae; Streptophyta; Magnoliopsida; Gentianales; Gentianaceae.